CCUACGGGAGGCAGCAGUGAGGAAUAUUGGUCAAUGGGCGCGAGCCUGAACCAGCCAAGUCGCGUGAGGGAAGACGGUCCUAUGGAUUGUAAACCUCUUUUGUCAGGGAGCAAAGGGCGCCACGUGUGGCGUUUUGCGAGUACCUGAAGAAACAGCAUCGGCUAACUCCGUGCCAGCAGCCGCGGUAAUACGGAGGAUGCGAGCGUUAUCCGGAUUUAUUGGGUUUAAAGGGUGCGCAGGCGGAAUGUGAAGUCAGCGGUAAAAUUUCGGGGCUCAACCCCGUCGUGCCGUUGAAACUGGCGUUCUUGAGUGAGCGAGAAGUAUGCGGAAUGCGUGGUGUAGCGGUGAAAUGCAUAGAUAUCACGCAGAACUCCGAUUGCGAAGGCAGCAUACCGGCGCUCAACUGACGCUCAUGCACGAAAGCGUGGGUAUCGAACAGGAUUAGAUACCCCAGUAGUC
Molecule: ribosomal RNA, 459 nt
Filed under: uncultured bacterium
Lineage: Bacteria
Description: partial 16S ribosomal RNA
Rfam family: Bacterial small subunit ribosomal RNA
Source: RNAcentral